GAUGAACGCUGGCGGCGUGCCUAAUACAUGCAAGUCGAGCGAACGGACGAGAAGCUUGCUUCUCUGAUGUUAGCGGCGGACGGGUGAGUAACACGUGGAUAACCUACCUAUAAGACUGGGAUAACUUCGGGAAACCGGAGCUAAUACCGGAUGAUAUUUUGAACCGCAUGGUUCAAAAGUGAAAGACGGUCUUGCUGUCACUUAUAGAUGGAUCCGCGCUGCAUUAGCUAGUUGGUAAGGUAACGGCUUACCAAGGCAACGAUGCAUAGCCGACCUGAGAGGGUGAUCGGCCACACUGGAACUGAGACACGGUCCAGACUCCUACGGUAGGCAGCAGUAGGGAAUCUUCCGCAAUGGGCGAAAGCCUGACGGAGCAACGCCGCGUGAGUGAUGAAGGUCUUCGGAUCGGAAAACUCUGUUAUUAGGGAAGAACAUAUGUGUAAGUAACUGUGCACAUCUUGACGGUACCUAAUCAGAAAGCCACGGCUAACUACGUG
This 497-nucleotide ribosomal RNA is filed under the name uncultured bacterium. RNAcentral's name for it is "partial 16S ribosomal RNA". It matches the Rfam family "Bacterial small subunit ribosomal RNA", at positions 28 to 507 of the family's 1533-position model. The record is from RNAcentral.